ACAUUCAUCGAGUAGGGAGAACAGCUCGAGCUGGACGAUCUGGUAAAUCAAUCACCUUCGUGACACAGUAUGAUGUGGAACUCUUCCAGCGCAUUGAGCACUUGAUUGGCAAAAAGCUGCCAGCCUUUCCCAGUCAAGAAGAAGAGGUCAUGAUGUUGACCGAGCGUGUGGCUGAAGCCCAGAGAUUUGCUCGCAUGGAAUUGCGGCAACAAGGGGAAAAGAAAAAACGCUCUCGAGACGAGACAAAUGAGGAUGAGGAUGAUGAUGCAGAAGGAGCGUUGGGAGUCAGGAACAAAGUUGCUGGAGGAAAAAAAAAGAAAUGGAAAGUUCAGAAAUAAAUAGCAUCAGACUUUAUUUCUCCAUAUUUUUAUGCAGUUUGGAAUCCUGGAAUCAUCAGUCCAACAUCAUUAUCAGAAUGACUUUCAAGGACUCAUGAAGAAUAUCUCAGCA
This is a long non-coding RNA of Protobothrops mucrosquamatus (brown spotted pit viper), 450 nucleotides long. RefSeq lists it as uncharacterized. The transcript is spliced from 3 exons. NCBI's taxonomy places the organism in Eukaryota, Metazoa, Chordata, Lepidosauria, Squamata, Viperidae. The record is from RefSeq and is a predicted model, not a curated record.